CGUGGCCUAUCGAUCCUUUA
Molecule: small nuclear RNA, 20 nt
Filed under: Arabidopsis thaliana (thale cress)
Lineage: Eukaryota; Viridiplantae; Streptophyta; Magnoliopsida; Brassicales; Brassicaceae
Description: snRNA_07298
Source: RNAcentral